GUAGCUCAGUUGGUAGAGCAGCUGAUUUGUAAUCAGCAGGUCGGGGGUUCGUGUCCCUUC
This 60-nucleotide transfer RNA is filed under the name Fidelibacterota bacterium TMED108. RNAcentral describes it as "Candidatus Marinimicrobia bacterium TMED108 tRNA-Thr". It matches the Rfam family "tRNA", at positions 7 to 64 of the family's 71-position model. Rfam says of the family: Transfer RNA (tRNA) molecules are approximately 80 nucleotides in length. Their secondary structure includes four short double-helical elements and three loops (D, anti-codon, and T loops). The record is from RNAcentral. Lineage: Bacteria; Pseudomonadati; Fidelibacterota.